CGAACGCUGGCGGCGUGCCUAAUACAUGCAAGUCGAACGCUUCUUUCCUCCCGAGUGCUUGCACUCAAUUGGAAAGAGGAGUGGCGGACGGGUGAGUAACACGUGGGUAACCUACCCAUCAGAGGGGGAUAACACUUGGAAACAGGUGCUAAUACCGCAUAACAGUUUAUGCCGCAUGGCAUAAGAGUGAAAGGCGCUUUCGGGUGUCGCUGAUGGAUGGACCCGCGGUGCAUUAGCUAGUUGGUGAGGUAACGGCUCACCAAGGCCACGAUGCAUAGCCGACCUGAGAGGGUGAUCGGCCACACUGGGACUGAGACACGGCCCAGACUCCUACGGGAGGCAGCAGUAGGGAAUCUUCGGCAAUGGACGAAAGUCUGACCGAGCAACGCCGCGUGAGUGAAGAAGGUUUUCGGAUCGUAAA
This 421-nucleotide ribosomal RNA is filed under the name Enterococcus faecalis. RNAcentral describes it as "bacterial SSU rRNA". It matches the Rfam family "Bacterial small subunit ribosomal RNA", at positions 30 to 429 of the family's 1533-position model. Lineage: Bacteria; Bacillati; Bacillota; Bacilli; Lactobacillales; Enterococcaceae. The record is from RNAcentral.